Molecule: long non-coding RNA, 1875 nt
Filed under: Zea mays
Lineage: Eukaryota; Viridiplantae; Streptophyta; Magnoliopsida; Poales; Poaceae
Description: long non-coding RNA (ZMAY_LNC003157)
Source: RNAcentral
UUGGUUUUGGUGGAGGGAAGAAGGGAGGAAGGAAAGGGGGAGAAUCCAAGGUGAUUUUUGUGUUUAUCUCUUGUUUAUUUGUGCUGCAAUUCAAUUGAAUAGAUGUUGCGUAUGCGAAUUGGUAGAGGUGCUGUCCAGAAAUUUAGUGGGUGGGCGAACAGCAGUAGUUCUAGCAGUUUCUGGGAAAUUUUCGUGGGUAAUUAGUGAUAAACAGUAUGAGAAUCAUGUAUAUCUUUGUCAUACCUUUCCAACGAGUACUUAUGCGCUCAAUUCGGAGUUAUAAAUUAGGAGAUAUCGCCGUUUGAACCCGGGUAUGUGGCUGUCCAAAGAAACAGAUUUCUGCAGGUGCAUGCAGCAGUAGUAUUAGCAGUUUCUGGGGAUUUUUCGUGGGUAAUUAGUGAUAAACAGUAUGAGAAUUAUGUAGAGCUUUGUCAUACAUUUCCAACAAGUACUUAUGUGCUCAAUUCGGAAUUAUAAAUUAGGAGAUAUCGCUGUUUGAAUCCGGAUAUGUUGCUGUCAAAAAAAAACAGAUUGCAGGGUUUAUCUUGUGGACUGUUUUGGGCUAAUUAGAUGUUAGAAUUUAAUUAUAAUUUGUAUACAAAACUUGUGGGGAAUUUUAUCUAGAUGCCUCUGGAGUUUUUUUUGUCACCACUGCUGUCAUAAUUUUAAAGUUAUGAAAUUGUUAAGAAGCACCGCUGCAAUUUGGUGGGUGUGGGGAGAGUUGUUACCCGCGGCGGGGUUUGAGAUUGGGCGUAGGUGCAGCGUCGUUUAUGAGUGUUAUUAUGUGAAAUUGGUGCACUAAGUUGUGUGUCAAAAACAGGUGGUGGACUUCCGGAUCGUACUUAGGGAUUUGCCCAAACUUCCGGUGAAGGCAAGUAAAACAGUGAUGGUUAUUCCGUCUCUCGAUUAAAUAGUCUUAUACUUGAUUAUGUUUGUGCCAUUUGUGUUCGUAUUCAUAUUCCUAAUUGGGUACCAUCGUUUAAAGAUAUUCAUGUUUUAUUGAUUACAUAUGUUGAGGUUGUGGUUUGAUCAUGUUACCCAUGUGGUUUAUUAUGUGGAAUGGGUGGAAGUAUAUGUCGAGCACAUUUUAUUUGGGAAGGACUCAUGUUGUUGACAUGCAUAAUGCAUUCAUCAUCCAUUGCAUGAAAGUUUCAUCGCGAUCUUAUGGUCUGACUAUACCAGUACAAUGAGCAUCAUAUGUUGCUCGAGAAGGGGUAUGAUGCAGCUUCAUAUCCUUAGAGGUAUGAAGGCAGAAGUCAUUACUGCAUCUGUAGCCAUGUGCAUUCAUGGGAGAAGUGUGGAACCUAUUAUGGUGAUGUGGAUAGUGUGGAUCUUUACUUUGUGAUUCAUCUUGGCAUUAAGUAAUUGGUUACUUGCUUACUUGCUGCAAAUUAAUAUUUAAGAAAGAAGUUGUGAACUACGUGGUUGUUUAGGCACGGUUGGUACAUUCUCCAAUUGUUGUUUGCUCUUUUUACUUGCUGAGAUGUGUCAUCUCACUCUUGCAUUUUCUGAUGCAGGCACCUGAUCUUUGCUUUGGGAAAGAAGGGAUGUAGUAGCAUGGCCACUAAACCUUUAAAUAAAGGAACCACUGCUUAAUAAUGAUGUUAAACAGGGAGGGUCAAGUCUAGGGGAUUAUUAUAUUCUAGCCUUUCAUGGUAGUUGAACUGUUUUUUUGGUGGGCGGAGUUACCUAUCUUUUAUUUGGUCAUGAAUGUUCAUUACUACCGUUGCAUUUCGAUUAUACUAUGUGAAUUAUCUUUCUUUUAUAUCCUGUAUAAACUCUAUGUUCCCCUUGUUAUGCUUCUUUCAAGGGAGGUGCUGCCGGAUUUUGCAAUACUUUCUUUCUCUAUUUCUUUUCUUGUGUUGCAUAAGUUUU